RNAcentral lists this unclassified non-coding RNA (299 nucleotides) under Hevea brasiliensis (rubber tree). The record is from RNAcentral. Lineage: Eukaryota; Viridiplantae; Streptophyta; Magnoliopsida; Malpighiales; Euphorbiaceae.
GAAAAUGAUCUGAAAACAGAAUAUUACCAGUAGUUGAUUUUACUGCAACAACAAACACACGCUUCUGGUUUCAUUCUCUCGUUCAAUGGCCAUAAAUGCUCAAAACCCAUCUCAAGAAUCAAAGUAAAAUAGUUGUAUAAGAGCUUCUAGAACGCAGAAAACCAGUGGGAAUGGUAUGGUAUGGAAUGAAAGAGCAAAAAGAGGAGGUUUGAUCAAUUAAUCCGUGAACACACUGCAUUUUUUUUCAUUAUUAUAUGGUCAAAGGUCAAUAUGCACACGAGUGAACAGCUCAAAAUCCA